UGCGUAGGCGGGUCAAUAAGUCAGUGGUGAAAUCUCACAGCUUAACUGUGAAACUGCCAUUGAUACUGUUGGUCUUGAAUUCAGUUGAAGUGGGCGGAAUAUAGCAUGUAGCGGUGAAAUGCUUAGAGAUGCUAUAGAACACCAAUCGCGAAGGCAGCUCACUAAACUUGGAUUGACGCUGAGGCACGAAAGCGUGGGGAGCAAACAGGAUUAGAUACCCUGGUAGUCC
This 229-nucleotide ribosomal RNA is filed under the name uncultured bacterium. RNAcentral describes it as "partial 16S ribosomal RNA". It matches the Rfam family "Bacterial small subunit ribosomal RNA", at positions 568 to 796 of the family's 1533-position model. The record is from RNAcentral.